Molecule: ribosomal RNA, 451 nt
Filed under: uncultured bacterium
Lineage: Bacteria
Description: partial 16S ribosomal RNA
Rfam family: Bacterial small subunit ribosomal RNA
Source: RNAcentral
AACGAACGCUGGCGGCAUGCCUAACACAUGCAAGUCGAACGCCUGUAGCAAUACAGGAGUGGCAGACGGGUGCAUAACACGUGGGAACCUACCCAUGGGUUCGGAAUAACAGCGGGAAACUGCGGAUAAUACUGGAUACGUCCUCUGGGAGAAUGAUUCAUCGCCAUUGGUGGGGCCCGCGUCGGAUUAGCCAGUUGGCGUGUUAACGGCUCACCAAUGCGACGAUCCGUAGCUGAUCUGAGGGUAUGAUCAGCCACACUGGAGCUGAGACACGGUCCAGACUCCUACGGGAGGCAGCAGUAGGGAAUAUUGGACAAAGGGGGCAACCCUGAUCCAGUAAUGCCGCGUGGGUGAUGAAGUCCUUCGGGUCGUAAAGCCCUUUUGGCAGUGACGAUGAUGACGGUACCUGCAGUAUAAGCCCCGGCUAACUUCGUGCCAGCCGCCGCCGUAA